UAAAUAAUAUACGUUAGCUCCCUUACCUUCCUUGCUCUUUCUUACCUUUGCAUUGUUUACCCUUCCCCCGCCUCAUCCAAGCAGACCCUUACUCCUUCCGCUUCCCCUUACAGAUAGUAAGUGAUCUGAGCCACGUCUCACUUGUCUUCCUCGCAAUUAGCUGUACCAUCUUCAGCUGAAAUUCCCGCUUCAUUAUUCUCAGUCUCCGUCCAAGUUUCAGACUUUCUCACUCCGUAAGAAGAAGAAGGAAAGGAAAAAUAGAAAUCCCAGAUUACCCCAUUUGCUUCUAACUAAUCCUUAUUUCUAAUGAUAAUUUGAUCAGAUCCAAAAUGGGACACCUUAAUCUGCCUGCAUCAAAGCGAAACCCUAGGCAAUGGAAGCUGCUCGACCUCGUUUCUGCUGCAUUCUUCGGCUUAGUCUUUCUUUUCUUCCUUCUCGUCUUUACUCCUCUCGGUGAUUCUCUCGCCGCCUCUGGCCGCCAGGCUCUCCUUCUUUCUACAUCGGAUCCGCGUCAGCGCCUCCGCCUCGUCGAGCUCAUUGAGGCCGGCCGACAUCCUCAGCAGAUCGAGGCGUGCUCUGAACACUCUGUUGAUCAUAUGCCGUGUGAAGAUCCCAGACGCAAUAGCCAGCUCAGUAGAGAAAUGAAUUACUAUCGAGAGCGUCACUGUCCACUUCCAGAUGAGACCCCUCUCUGCUUGAUCCCGCCCCCCAAUGGAUACAAGAUUCCUGUCCAGUGGCCCCAGAGUUUGCAUAAGAUAUGGCAUGCCAACAUGCCACACAACAAAAUUGCGGACAGGAAGGGUCACCAGGGAUGGAUGAAAGAGGAAGGUGAAUACUUCGUUUUCCCUGGCGGUGGUACAAUGUUUCCUGAGGGAGCAAUACCAUACAUUGAAAAACUUGGACAGUAUAUCCCUAUAAGUGGUGGAAUUUUAAGGACUGCCCUUGACAUGGGAUGCGGGGUUGCUAGUUUUGGAGGAUAUAUGCUAAAGGAAGGAAUUUUAACCCUCUCAUUUGCACCUAGAGAUUCACACAAAGCACAAAUACAAUUUGCACUGGAAAGAGGAAUUCCAGCAUUUGUUGCCAUGCUUGGCACUCGCAGACUCCCAUUUCCUGCUUUCUCAUUUGACUUGGUCCAC
RNAcentral lists this unclassified non-coding RNA (1136 nucleotides) under Hevea brasiliensis (rubber tree). The record is from RNAcentral. Lineage: Eukaryota; Viridiplantae; Streptophyta; Magnoliopsida; Malpighiales; Euphorbiaceae.